GAUGAACGCUGGCGGCGUGCCUAAUACAUGCAAGUCGAGCGAACAGAUAAGGAGCUUGCUCCUUUGACGUUAGCGGCGGACGGGUGAGUAACACGUGGGUAACCUACCUAUAAGACUGGGAUAACUUCGGGAAACCGGAGCUAAUACCGGAUAAUAUUUCGAACCGCAUGGUUCGAUAGUGAAAGAUGGUUUUGCUAUCACUUAUAGAUGGACCCGCGCCGUAUUAGCUAGUUGGUAAGGUAACGGCUUACCAAGGCGACAAUACGUAGCCGACCUGAGAGGGUGAUCGGCCACACUGGAACUGAGACACGGUCCAGACUCCUACGGGAGGCAGCAGUAGGGAAUCUUCCGCAAUGGGCGAAAGCCUGACGGAGCAACGCCGCGUGAGUGAUGAAGGUCUUCGGAUCGUAAAACUCUGUUAUUAGGGAAGAACAUACGUGUAAGUAACUGUGCACGUCUUGACGGUACCUAAUCAGAAAGCCACGGCUAACUACGUG
RNAcentral lists this ribosomal RNA (497 nucleotides) under uncultured bacterium. RNAcentral's name for it is "partial 16S ribosomal RNA". It matches the Rfam family "Bacterial small subunit ribosomal RNA", at positions 28 to 507 of the family's 1533-position model. The record is from RNAcentral.